Molecule: long non-coding RNA, 1056 nt
Organism: Gadus morhua (Atlantic cod)
Lineage: Eukaryota; Metazoa; Chordata; Actinopteri; Gadiformes; Gadidae
Exons: 4
Source: RefSeq, a predicted model, not a curated record
UCUCCCCUCUUUACAGUAUCUCUCAGCUCUCUCCUUUGUUUACAGUACGUCUCUGCUCGCUCUUCCCUGCAGGUUGUUUGAGUUCCGCGGACGCGUCUCCCCCCCCGUCCCCCGCGCCCCCCCGGCCAAGCGGGCUCGGCUCGCGGUCCCGCUGGUGCGACGGGUCAAGUCCCUUCCUGUCAAGCUGCUGUCGCGCAACACCUCGGCGCUCCCCCCCAGCAACAACAAACAUAGAUCACUGCGGGGCUUGGAGCUGCAGGCGAUCAAGUCUGAGUUGACUCAGAUCAAAACCAACAUCGAAGCUCUGCUGUGUAGACUGGAGCUCAUCUCGGACGACACACACAUCACCCCUACAGAGUUGCGGAAGGAGAAGGAGGAGGAGGAGGAGGAGGAGGAGGAGGAGGAGUGUAAGAGUGAGGAGGUGUCUGUAGAUGAGGAAGACUGGUGCUCUGAAGGUCAGGAGGAGGAGGAGAGACGAAGAAGCCACGCAGGAGAAGAGCAGUCACAUGACCGCCUAGAGCACAAUACGGAAAACCGAGGACUAUCAUCAGAAGUGAAAUCGAUCCUACUGUGAAAGGUAAUCGCUAACGAGCUAAUUAACGCCCUCUCCCUCUCCCAUCAACCCACUGCCUCCCCAGCCAUCAGCUGAACGUGCGUUCCUGUUUUAACCAGGACCAGAACGCACGUACUCAGCCCCUCGCUGACCCCCGGCUCCCAGGUGUGUUUGUGUUGAAGAACUCACCAGAACCCAUUGUUCUCUAGCGGUUCCAAAGACAUAAACACGAUCUACGCACACGGAAACAUCAGCAAGACAGACUGGACAUUCGCUGGAGGCAGAUUUAUCUGCUCGAUGCUUUCUCUUUAUCGACUCAUAAAUCCCCCCCAAACAAUUGUCAAUGUCAAUAACAUUUAUAAAACAUUGCGAUGGACCAAAUCGAACAAUCCGGGAACUUGGAACGUGUAAAGUGUUGCCUCACUAGUCACCGGCACUGAUGAGCAGGUCAUCAGCUGUCAAUGCUACAAAUAAAAAUAAACACCCGCAUUUUUUCUCCUGUU